GACGAACGCUGGCGGCGUGCUUAACACAUGCCAGUCGAACGGAAAGGCCCUGCUUUUGUGUGGUGCUCGAGUGGCGAACGGGUGAGUAACACGUGAGUAACCUGCCCUUUACUUUGGGAUAACUUCAGGAAACUGGGGCUAAUACCGGAUAGGAGCUCCUGCUGCAUGGUGGGGGUUGGAAAGUUUCGGCGGUUGGGGAUGGACUCGCGGCUUAUCAGCUUGUUGGUGGGGUAGUGGCUUACCAAGGCUUUGACGGGUAGCCGGCCUGAGAGGGUGACCGCCCACAUUGGGACUGAGAUACGGCCCAGACUCCUACGGGAGGCAGCAGUGGGGAGUAUUGCACAAUGGGCGGAAGCCUGAUGCAGCAACGCCGCGUGCGGGAUGACGGCCUUCGGGUUGUAAACCGCUUUCGCCUGUGACGAAGCGUGAGUGACGGUAAUGGGUAAAGAAGCACCGGCUAACUACGUG
Molecule: ribosomal RNA, 468 nt
Filed under: uncultured bacterium
Lineage: Bacteria
Description: partial 16S ribosomal RNA
Rfam family: Bacterial small subunit ribosomal RNA
Source: RNAcentral